Molecule: long non-coding RNA, 627 nt
Organism: Artibeus jamaicensis (Jamaican fruit-eating bat)
Lineage: Eukaryota; Metazoa; Chordata; Mammalia; Chiroptera; Phyllostomidae
Exons: 3
Source: RefSeq, a predicted model, not a curated record
CGCAUAUACCAGGCUGAAGGUUUACGUGGCGAGAGUAAGGAGUCGGGAUCAGGGCUUCAGGCUUCCCCUGGCCACGAGUGGACUGGACGGCUGGGUGGGCAGAGGGGCACAAACCGCGUAGGGACUAACUCCUCUGCGUCCCCUUCUGGGAAACCAAACUCCAGGCUUCCUUUAGACCCCCCACCCCCGGGUCCCGCCCCGGGCACCCUGUGCAGCCGUCUUCUACGAAAUCGCAAGCCCGUGGACACCAAAUUUAUCGCCCGCGCCCGAGCCGGGAGCAGGCAUUUUGAAUGCUCACUCAACGGCGUCUACCACCCCAACUGACUAGUACAGCGGUUAUUCGGGUUUGCCCACUCCAGUCUACUCCCCUUGACUGCCAGGAACUGAGGAUAAAGCAUUUAACAAAGAAACUGCUUGUGCAUGUGGAGCUUCCAUCAGAAAAAUAAACAGAGGCAAUGUCCAAUGAACACCAAUAUGCUAAAGAAAAAUAUUGUAACCCUGACUGGUGUGGCUCCGUGUAUUAAGUGCUGGCCUGUGAACCAAAAGGUCGCUAGUUCGAUUCCCAGUCAGAGCACAUGCUUGAGUUGCUGGUCAGGCAACCAAUCGAUGUAUCUCUUGCACAUUGAU